RNAcentral lists this unclassified non-coding RNA (590 nucleotides) under Moorena bouillonii PAL08-16. RNAcentral describes it as "Moorea bouillonii PAL08-16 partial contains 16S ribosomal RNA, 16S-23S ribosomal RNA intergenic spacer, and 23S ribosomal RNA; rrnB". The stretch from base 1 to 111 matches the Rfam family "Bacterial small subunit ribosomal RNA", at positions 1425 to 1533 of the family's 1533-position model. Lineage: Bacteria; Bacillati; Cyanobacteriota; Cyanophyceae; Coleofasciculales; Coleofasciculaceae. The record is from RNAcentral.
AGUCGUUACCCUAACCCUUUUGGGAGGGGGAUGCCGAAGGCAGGGUUGGUGACUGGGGUGAAGUCGUAACAAGGUAGCCGUACCGGAAGGUGUGGCUGGAUCACCUCCUUUACAGGGAGACCAACUGAGACCGACUCGAAGCCAAAGAGGCGAGAGUGGUUUUCAGGUCAACCGAGGUCGAAGGGUAGAAGACCAGGCUCUCAAACUAUUAUAGGUUCGGUUAGGGGCUAUUAGCUCAGGUGGUUAGAGCGCACCCCUGAUAAGGGUGAGGUCCCUGGUUCGAGUCCAGGAUGGCCCACAUCUAUUAAAAUAACAGGUGAAGCGGCUAACAAAAGGCCAAAAGCUAAUCAAGGCCAAGAAAAAAAAGACGGUAAAAAAGAACAGCACCGGAACUGCCUGAAAAAACCAGUUCAGGAUGCUGGGCUUUGAGUCCAGUAAAGAACCAAGAAAAUUGCAUAGCGAAGUGUAGAAAAGCCAAAAAGUCGAGCCGCGAGCGAAACAGUGGAACAGGCUUAAUGCCUGUGCUCUGCGCGGUAAAAAAGAACAAAAAUGGUCAAGCUACAAAAGGCUAACGGUGGAUACCUAGGCAC